Long non-coding RNA from Dreissena polymorpha, 2259 nucleotides. RefSeq lists it as uncharacterized. The transcript is spliced from 2 exons. NCBI's taxonomy places the organism in Eukaryota, Metazoa, Mollusca, Bivalvia, Myida, Dreissenidae. The record is from RefSeq and is a predicted model, not a curated record.
AGGAACAAGACCUGUGUCCAGUCCGGAGUGGUGCUCUUGUCACAGAUGCCCACAUACAAGAGAGUGGAAGAUCGAGUUUGCUGUGGGAUGGUCCCAGAAUUAUGCUCAAGUCAAAGACCUGAGAUGACUCUAUCGAUGCUGGAUAUGAUGACCCUCUACAGUCAGCAGCAGUAUCGACAAGAUGUGUUUUCCUUUUAUGCAGAGACACUAGAAGAUGUCAAUAAAUCUUUCAGACAUGCUGCAUACAGACAAUUUACAUCUUAAUGCAUGGGAAACUGACUGCUGGAGACAGAAGAACUGUCCUAGCAUGUUGUGUUAAAUUAAUAAGGGAGAAGUUUCCUAGUCUUUCAGGCCAGUAUACAGGCUUCAUACCAGGUGGGCCCAGUGUUCUAACAAUUUUGCAUAUUUAUGCCCCCCUUCGAAGAAGAGGGGGUUUAUUGUUUUGCACAUGUCGGUCCGUCCACCACAUGGUUUCCAGAUGAUAACUUAGGAACGUUAAGGCCUAGGAUCAUGAAACUUCAUAGGUGCAUUGAUCAUUACUGGUGAUCAUGACUGGCAAAUGACCCCUAUUGAUUUUCAGUUCACUAGGUCAAAGGUCAGUGACUAGAAACAGUAAAACGGUUUCCGGAUGAUUACUCAAGAAUGCUUACCCCUAGGAUCUUGAAACUUUAUAGGUAAAUUGAUCAUGACUGGCAGAUGACCUCUUUAGAUUUUCAGGUCAAUAGGUCAAGGUCACAGUGACUCGAAACUGAUGACCCUUAUUGAUUUUCAGGUCACUAUGUCAAGCUCACAGUGACUCGAAAUAGUAAAAUGGUUUCCUGAUGAUAACUCAAGAAUAAUAUGGCCUAGGUUCAUAAAACUUCAUGGGUACAUUGAUCAUGACUGACAGAUGACCCCUAUUAAUUUUCAGGUCACUAUGUCAAAGGUCAAGGUCAUAGUGACAAAAAACGUUUUCACAGAAUGGCUGCAACUACAACUGACAGCCCAUAUGGGGGGCCUGCAUGUUUUACAAACAGCCUAGUUGCUAUUCUUUUUCAUUUAUCAGACAUAGAACUUUUUUAGUUUUGAUUAUUUUUUGUUCUGGCUCCUUUUUUGAAACAUUAAUAUUUAUGCAAAUCAUUUGAAUUAUGCUUAAUCAUUUGAAUUUUUCAGUUCCAUGCAUUUUGUUUUGAAAUACCAAUUUGUGUGAAAUGUGCUAGUUUAUUAUUAAAACUUGCACAGCAGUUUUUACAUGUGUAUGCUUACUUUGGUGUCAUUUGAAUGAAAUGCCAUGAGUACUCUGGAUUGUAAGAUGAAAGAAAUAAAAGAAUCAAUGACAUAUUGCUUAAGAAUACUAUAUUCAAAAUUCAUUUCUUGUAUACUUAUUUUAUUUUCUUACUUGAACUUAAUAGUUUGAUUUUUAUACUUUUAAGCUCACCUGAGCACAAUGUGCUCAUGGGGAGCUUUUGUGAUCGCCUUUUGUCCAUCGUGCAGCGUCUACAUUUGCCUUGUUAAAACUCUACAGGCCACAUUUAUUGUCCAAUCUUCAUGAAAUUUUGUCAAAAGAUUGGUCUCAAUGAUAUUUUGGAUGAGUUCGAAAAUGGUUACGUUUGCUUGAAAAGACCGUUCAUAAAAACAGUCAAUAGUGUAUUACCUGUUUGUAUUGUGAUUUUUUAUAUCUUUUGCUUGUAUUCAAUUUUAAGUUUGCAUUUUUUUUUUAUUAUGCCCCCCCCUUCGAAGAAGAGGGGGUAUGUUAUUUUGCUCAUGUCGGUCGGUCCGUCCACUGAAUGGUUUCCGGAUGAUAACUCAAGAACGCUUACGCCUAGGAUCAUAAAACUUCAUAGGUACAUUGAUCAUGAGUCGCAGAUGACCCCUAUUGAUUUUCAGGUCACUUAGUCAAAGGUCAAGGUGACUAGAACCAGUGAAAUGGUUUCCAGAUGAUAACUCAAGAGCUUACGCCUAGGAUCAUGAAACUUCAUAGGUACAUUGAUAAUGACUGGCAGAUGACCCUAUUGAUAUUCAGGUAACUAGGUCAAGGUCAGUGACAAAAAACGUAUUCACACAAUGGCUGCCACUACAACUGACAGCCCAUAUGGGGGGCAUGCAAGUUUUACAAACAGCCCUUGUUUAUUCUUAUUUCGAGUCAUUUUGUUUCACACUUGAUAUUUUGUUAGAUUAGGUUUCUUAAAAUACAUUUCAAACUAUGACAUAUGCUAAUGCAUGAUUAAACAUUUCGAAAUCAAUAAAAAAGCAACAAGUUGCUGUUGAAAAUUUGAAAAA